This 300-nucleotide unclassified non-coding RNA is filed under the name uncultured Dothideomycetes. Its description in RNAcentral is "sequence contains ITS1". The stretch from base 1 to 105 matches the Rfam family "5.8S ribosomal RNA", at positions 50 to 154 of the family's 154-position model. The record is from RNAcentral. Lineage: Eukaryota; Fungi; Ascomycota; Dothideomycetes.
GAAAUGCGAUAAGUAGUGUGAAUUGCAGACUUUAGUGAAUCAUCGAAUCUUUGAACGCACAUUGCGCCCCUUGGUAUUCCAUUGGGCAUGCCUGUUCGAGCGUCAUUUACACCCUCAAGCUCUGCUUGGUGUUGGGCGUCUGUCCCUGCUUUUAGUGAGGACUCGCCCUAAAGAUAUUGGCAGCGGCUUUGCCAGCUUCUUGCGCAGCACUUUGCGCUCGUAGAGGCUCUGGUAGGGACGCAUCCAUUAAGAACUCCACAGUUUGACCUCGAAUCAGGUAGGGAUACCCGCUGAACUUAA